GUGUUAGCUUUGGCAAUACACACUACAGUUAAAAUGAUACAGAGAAAAUUAGGAUGGCCCUUGUGCAAGGAUGAAGUAUUCCCAACGAAUCUUGCUCUU
Molecule: small nuclear RNA, 99 nt
Filed under: Notamacropus eugenii (tammar wallaby)
Lineage: Eukaryota; Metazoa; Chordata; Mammalia; Diprotodontia; Macropodidae
Source: RNAcentral